Molecule: long non-coding RNA, 1166 nt
Filed under: Capsicum annuum
Lineage: Eukaryota; Viridiplantae; Streptophyta; Magnoliopsida; Solanales; Solanaceae
Description: long non-coding RNA (CANN_LNC019363)
Source: RNAcentral
GGUUCUCAUUUUUCGGCUCCGAUGCCCUCCCCCUCUAAUUUUUUUUCUUUCGUUUUGAUUAAUUUAAUUGAAGAAAAAUGUCAAAACUGAUUCUCUUCUUAUGUUUCCAUCAAUUUUAUUCUUGAAUCUUGCAAAAGACAAGUACAAUUUGGUGAAGGGGUUUCUUGUGUUUGAAUAUUUUAUUGUCUUUAUACAAAACAACAUUCAAGAAAUUGCUUAUGGUCAGCACACGAUUAAUGUGAGAUUUUAUGGAACAUGAGGUCAUUUUAACCAAAAAAAUUAAAAAUAAAUCAAAUCCUUGGAAUGUUACAAUCAGGUUGAAGAAUUUAUGAAAUUCUGGCGAUGCAGAAUUUUUGCUUUCUUGAAAAUUUUCAAGAUCCCAUUAAAGAGUUUCAAUAAUUGCUUGAAGUUCUAACUUCUCAUUACUUGAAGAAUUUGAAUAUGGGAAUUUUCCAGUUUAGUCGGAGCUAAAAUUUUGAUGGAGAAGUGAAGAAAAUGGUGAUAUCGGCGAAUAUAUGUCCAAAGGUUAAACAAUUAUAUCAUCAAUGGCAAUGGUGAUGAUGAUUCUGGUGGAUUAAUGGUGUGAGGAGAUUCAAAAAUGGUGAUAAAGAAUAAGGGCAAAAAAAUAAAGAUGAAGCAUAUUUUUUUAAUUAUUUUCGGAUAAAUACGAACUUUUAUGCGCUGAACUCGAGUGUGUCACGCUCUCCAUGCCAUGUCAGCUAAAAGUGUCAAAAUGACACAGUUUGUGGCUAGUUUAGGUGUCUAAAAUGAACAUAAUCAACUUAAGUUGUCAAAGUGAAAGAUCAUGCAAAGUUGAGGUGUUUAUCGAUGGAUUUGGCCUUUCUAAAAGGUAUGGUAUGGUAUGGUAUCUUUUCAUGAUUUGGUAACCAUGAAAUUCCUCAAUUUUUAGCAUCACCGAUUUGGUGGUAUCCCAUGAUUUUCUUUUUUUUUCGAUUAUGCCCUUACUUAAUAUUUUUUAAUUCUAUUUUACCCUUUAUCCUAUAUUACUUCUAACCCUAUGUUUUUAUUUUUACAUUUUUCCUAUGCAUUGUUCUCCUCUGCAUUCUUCAAAUUACAAAAAUGUAUAUUAGAACAACAUGUUAAUUAGCAUAUUAACAUCAUUGUGUUGAAUUUAAAUCUUGGCAGCUUUGAAAGAAUAUUUCAUG